This 764-nucleotide ribosomal RNA is filed under the name uncultured bacterium. Its description in RNAcentral is "bacterial SSU rRNA". It matches the Rfam family "Bacterial small subunit ribosomal RNA", at positions 28 to 776 of the family's 1533-position model. The record is from RNAcentral.
AUCGAACGCUGGCGCACUCUUUACACAUGCAAGUCGAACGGUAACGCGGAGAGAAGCUUGCUUCUCUCCGGCGACGAGUGGCGAACGGGUGAGUAAUACAUCGGAACGUGUCCGCUCGUGGGGGACAACCAGCCGAAAGGUUGGCUAAUACCGCAUGAGUUCUACGGAAGAAAGAGGGGGACCCGCAAGGGCCUCUCGCGAGCGGAGCGGCCGAUGACUGAUUAGCCGGUUGGUGAGGUAACGGCUCACCAAAGCAACGAUCAGUAGCUGGUCUGAGAGGACGACCAGCCACACUGGGACUGAGACACGGCCCAGACUCCUACGGGAGGCAGCAGUGGGGAAUUUUGGACAAUGGGCGCAAGCCUGAUCCAGCUAUUCCGCGUGUGGGAUGAGGGCCCUCGGGUUGUAAACCACUUUUGUAGAGAACGAAAAGACACCUUCGAAUAAAGGGUGUUGCUGACGGUACUCUAAGAAUAAGCACCGGCUAACUACGUGCCAGCAGCCGCGGUAAUACGUAGGGUGCGAGCGUUAAUCGGAAUUACUGGGCGUAAAGGGUGCGCAGGCGGUUGAGUAAGACAGAUGUGAAAUCCCCGAGCUUAACUCGGGAAUGGCAUAUGUGACUGCUCGACUAGAGUGUGUCAGAGGGAGGCGGAAUUCCACGUGUAGCAGUGAAAUGCGUAGAUAUGUGGAAGAACACCGAUGGCGAAGGCAGCCUCCUGGGACAUAACUGACGCUCAGGCACGAAAGCGUGGGGAGCAAACAGG